GGAUGUGAGGGCACUCUGGCUGUGACAUCUGUCACCACACUGAUCACAAGGGUUGAUUUGGCUGAUCUGGCUGUCUAGGUGGGUGUCCCCUUCCUCCCUUACUGCUCCAUGAGUGUCCCUCCUGAAGCAGCCUGCUCGGUCAAAGAGGAUGACCUUAACUGAUAGCAGAGGAUUGUUCUUCAGUCAAGGGUGAAUGAGUAGCUGAGCUCUCCUGCUAGGACCUCCAAACAAGACCUCAAGGUUCAUCUGUAGGAGAACAUAGGGUAAUCAAGCUUCCAAGACUCCAGACACAUCCAAAGGAGGCACUGCAGGUGGCAGUCUGAAAUAAAU
Unclassified non-coding RNA from Mustela putorius furo (domestic ferret), 330 nucleotides. Its record names the gene 7SK. It matches the Rfam family "7SK RNA". Rfam says of the family: 7SK was discovered as an abundant small nuclear RNA in the mid-70s but a possible function has only recently been suggested. The record is from Ensembl. NCBI's taxonomy places the organism in Eukaryota, Metazoa, Chordata, Mammalia, Carnivora, Mustelidae.